RNAcentral lists this ribosomal RNA (373 nucleotides) under uncultured eukaryote. RNAcentral describes it as "partial 18S ribosomal RNA". It matches the Rfam family "Eukaryotic small subunit ribosomal RNA", at positions 592 to 976 of the family's 1831-position model. The record is from RNAcentral.
CAAUAGCGUAUAUUAAAGUUGUUGCAGUUAAAAAGCUCGUAGUUGAAUUUUUGCUUGCCGCCGAUGUCGGAACUUCCGUACGUUCGGCGGCGUGCAUCCUUGGGUGGAACCUGUGUGGCAUUAGGUUGUCGUGCAGGGGAUGCUCAUCGUUUACUGUGAAAAAAUUAGAGUGUUCAAAGCAGGCUUACGCCGUUGAAUAUAUUAGCAUGGAAUAAUAAGAUAGGGCCUUGGUACUAUUUUGUUGGUUUGCGCACCGAGGUAAUGAUUAACAGGGACAGUUGGGGGUAUUCGUAUUCCAUUGUCAGAGGUGAAAUUCUUGGAUUUCUGGAAGACGAACUACUGCGAAAGCAUUUACCAAGGAUGUUUUCAUUAA